RNAcentral lists this unclassified non-coding RNA (322 nucleotides) under Hevea brasiliensis (rubber tree). The record is from RNAcentral. Lineage: Eukaryota; Viridiplantae; Streptophyta; Magnoliopsida; Malpighiales; Euphorbiaceae.
ACUUUGUCCAUCACCUGAAUGCUUUAGACAUCAGUUCCAGCAGUAUAUAGUUAUGAUAAGAGUAAGAAUCUAAUUCAGAUAAGCCAUUCUAUCCCUUUUUCUGGUGGUAGAAAGAUAGACUGUCUAAGCAGCAAGUAGUUACUCUACUGAUAUCAUACUGGCAGAGGAAUGACAAGUACUAUAAUAGUUUAUGGAGUUUUUACAAAGCUGGGUUAAUGCAGGAAACAUCAUGUCACCAGCUAGUUCAUGCUCAAAUUUGAAUGUCAGAUCACCAAGCAAUGACUCAUACCUCAAAGUUUUCCAGAAAUGUGUCAUUUGAGAA